AACGAACGCUGGCGGCAGGCCUAACACAUGCAAGUCGAGCGCGCCCUUCGGGGUGAGCGGCGGACGGGUGAGUAACGCGUGGGAACGUGCCCUUUUCUACGGAAUAGCCUCGGGAAACUGAGAGUAAUACCGUAUACGCCCUUUGGGGAAAGAUUUAUCGGAAAAGGAUCGGCCCGCGUUGGAUUAGGUAGUUGGUGGGGUAAUGGCCUACCAAGCCGACGAUCCAUAGCUGGUUUGAGAGGAUGAUCAGCCACACUGGGACUGAGACACGGCCCAGACUCCUACGGGAGGCAGCAGUGGGGAAUCUUAGACAAUGGGGGCAACCCUGAUCUAGCCAUGCCGCGUGAGUGAUGAAGGCCUUAGGGUUGUAAAGCUCUUUCAGCUGGGAAGAUAAUGACGGUACCAGCAGAAGAAGCCCCGGCUAACUCCGUG
Molecule: ribosomal RNA, 432 nt
Filed under: uncultured bacterium
Lineage: Bacteria
Description: partial 16S ribosomal RNA
Rfam family: Bacterial small subunit ribosomal RNA
Source: RNAcentral